RNAcentral lists this long non-coding RNA (1634 nucleotides) under Homo sapiens (human). Its description in RNAcentral is "HSALNT0087440". The record is from RNAcentral. Lineage: Eukaryota; Metazoa; Chordata; Mammalia; Primates; Hominidae.
AAUAUUGUAUUUCAUUUAAUAUUUUAUAAUUGUAGUGAUGCCGUGAUGAGCUUUCCUGAUGUCUCCUUCAGAACGUAGGUACUCAUCUCCCCUGCCUCUGGGAGAUAUGAAUGGUGAUGUGUCUGAGCUGAGUCUCCCUGUUUGGAGUUACCCUCAGCCAAAGAAGGUUGUUUUGCCAAAGUCAUGUCCCUUCUACAGGGGUCAACAAGACCCAAUGUCUGAUAGAUGUGGAGCUGUAGGGGUUCAGGUCCCUUGGCUUAGGAUGGUACAACACGGAACAAUGACUCCAAUUUCAGUGCUCCCUUUUGGAUCAACUGAAGCCUCAGUCAUAGCUGUGUUGUACUUCAAUUUCUCCCCCUGGUCAGUCCUAUGUUAUUUAUUCUCUCUCAGGUGUUGAUCCCCCCCGCCAAGUGUGCUCCCCAGGUUUCUGUCCUUCAUGCACAUUUUUGUCUCAGCGUGUAUCCUGGGAAAUCUGAGCUUAAACAAUUGGUUUCAGGUGUUGUCUAAGAAGUCAGACUUGAAAAUGGAUUUUGAAGUUGGACCACUAGCCAGUUAACUAACUGUGGGAGCCCUGUCAUUAAUGAUAAAUGAAGAACCUGAAUCCACUGACUUUGAGAAAAUCAAAAAGGACAUUAUUCUGGGUGGACCUGUCUUAAAUGAGGACAGAGGAAGGAUGUUCUGUUUCCCAGAGCCACGGUUACUAUGAAAAUGAAGAAAUCAUUCAGAUUUGUGAAAUGAGAAACUGGGACAUUCUACGGGUAAGAGAAGAAAGCCUCAAGUGAGCCUGCGUACAACUCCAGUAAAUACACAGCACAUGCAGCCCCUUCAAAGUGCUGGCAGGCCACUGCACAUGGACACCCCACUCCAAGAGAACAAUCAGGGAAGAAGGAAGUCAAGACUCCAGAAGCAUGACAACAUAUAAAGCCCGAAGUCAAAAGGUCAGACCUGCACUUCAUCUCUCAAGUCGCCUACUCAGCUCGCUUUCAAGUGUAUUUUCCUCCUUUUCAUUUUUGCUCUAAAGCUUUCAAUUAACAUUCACUCCCACUCUAAAACUUGCCUUGGUCUCUCCUUCUGCCUUAUGCCCUUCAGUUGAAUUUUUUCUUCUGAGGAGGCAAGAAUUGAGGUUACUGUGGUCUCAUACAGAUUCGCUGCUGAUAACAUACUUUGGUGCUUGAGUGACUCAGACAUGUUCCACUGCCAGCAAAAGUGCUUUGUCCAUAAAAGAAGGAAACAAUGGCAAUGGUUGUCCUCCUUUCCUCUUCUGAGCCUCAGAAAAACCCCAGAGAACAAUUAGUUUGUUUAAUAAAUGCGUUCUACUGCAUUGUGCUGAUUUAAGGUACUAGGUAUUUAAAAUAAAACCUAGGGCACAUGAAAAUGUUAGAGUUUGUUAGAGCAGACAGUGACUCAUGAAUCAAGCAGUGCUAGACCCCAAGGGGUUCAGGCCUUCAUUGAGAGGUCUCAAGGGGAAAACUUUUAUAAGGUGUUUGUGGAAACAAGACAAAAAAUGAUACUUGGUUGGUUAAAGUGGAAAGUCCCUAGUUAGAGGUUAGUUGGCAGUUUUGUAUUGGUUAAGCCUAAGUUUCGUUUUAUUUGUUUUCGGGUUGCGUUUUGAUCUGUUUAUGGAGGAACCUUAG